Felis catus (domestic cat) is the source of this 2406-nucleotide long non-coding RNA. RefSeq lists it as uncharacterized. The record is from RefSeq and is a predicted model, not a curated record. The transcript has 2 exons. Lineage: Eukaryota; Metazoa; Chordata; Mammalia; Carnivora; Felidae.
CACUCAUGCUUGGAGUCCUGGGCCACCAGAUACGAAGGCUGACUAUCCUGAGACCACCAUGUAGAGCAACCAUGGCCAAUACUCUCGCCUACACUUCUAGCUGAGCCCAGCCUUCGGCUAACCCAGCCCAAGCAGCCCGCAAGGGAGUGAAGGAGCCACCCUGGAAGUGACUCCUCCAGCUCAACCGUCCCAAGCCUCCGCUGUUCAGGUUACCCCAGACUUCAAUGAACCCCCAGCUCAAGCCCCAGACCUCGUAGAACAAGGGGAAGUGUCGCGCUCUUUCUAAAGGCCUGAUCCACAAAACCCGUGAGCUUUACUAAAACAGAUGUCACUUUGUGCCGUUAAGUUGUGUGGUAGUUUGCCGGGUAGCGGUACUAAUCAGAACAUUCCCUAAGCCUCAGUGUGCUCGUCUGUAAAACGGUGCCGUUAAUGGUGCCCGCCUCGUGGAAGUGAAUGUGUGCCGUGCACGUGGCUGUCAUGAUGAUGAUGGUUAUUAUCGUUUUCACCUACACUGUUCCCCUUGGCUGAAGAACAUAUCGGUUACAUAUAUCUGAUGAAGAUCCCCCAAUUAUUUCUUGUGCACACUGUCUGUUCUAAUUAGGGGAAUACAAGGCAUUCAUUAAAAAGAUGAGCCCCACGUUGAGCUAAAAAUACUCUGUCUGCAAGGUGGCGGCAUGUUAGUAGUCCCUUCGAAGGUGCUAAUACGGAGUUGGUAAAUGUAUUUGCGGUGGGGAGGGUGGAACAGUAUCUGGGUGAAUCGGGGACUUCACGUUCUCCCCACGUAGGAGCUUACAAGCUGGCUGGCACAGAGGUGAGAAGAGGCCUCGGGGUCGUAAGGAGGUACACAGGCACAGGCUCACAGGAGCCACUGCAGCGGGCAAAGCGCCCACGGUGGUAACUGACACUCUCAUCAGCGGGCUCCUUGCUCCCUUCCAAGCCUAAAUGCUUCUAUUUUCUCGUGCACAGAUCAAUACGGCUGGCAGGUAAGUGUCUGUGUGCGGCGUCGGGACAGUGAGACCCUAGCGGGUCAGAGGGCCUCGGCCCCUCCUGGGGGCCCGGGGGGCCCAGGCCCGCUGAGCAGGUGUCUGAGAUGCGGGCCAGACCACAUUCGAGCAUCCAGCCAGCCGUCAGCGUACAAAAUCAGAUCUGAUCGAGCCUGCGGAAGAUAAAUGAGCCGGAGUCCCCCAGCCCCAGAUUUGGUCAUCUCUUUAUGAGCUCUGAAGGGCCUAUUAGCAGCUCUGAUGAGUUCUGGGGGAGAUGAAGUGGGCCUCGAACAACGUUAGCUGGCAGAAUCAAAUCACUCCUGAUGCCCCUAGGGAGAAGGACCGGCUGCCUCGCAGACGCCUCGCCCUCCCGUCUGCAGCGCCCAGAAGGUUUAUAUGAACACUCAGUGGGGGGAAAAAAACCGGCUGUCCCCGUCCAGAGUGGCCAGCGGAAGCCAGUCCCCCGGCACCCUCUCCCAGCCCUUGUCCUACUUCAGUCGGCCCUGAAGGUGCUGGUUCACGGGGGGGGGCUCUUCGUGCUGGUCGCCGUGAGCCAUCACCCCUCUCCGGCCGCGGUCAACUGCUGUGUGUAACAGAGACAGCAGGUGCCUCUCAGUGUGGCUGUCGUGACAACCGAAGGGAAUCACGGAAUCACAUACACUCGUGCCGAGGAGACAGAGGUGGGAGGAGACUGCCCUCCCUCUCCUCUUGUCCAGCGUGCAGGCUGGGCCUGAGAAUGCCGUCUGGUGGAGGCCAUCAGCUACCUCGAGGGUCUCAGCAGCUUAUCAAAGAGAAGAAGAAGUGGUUAACCCUAGAUCCCACUGGCGGAUGUAGGGAAACACCUCCCUGAAGAAAGGAAAACUUCAUGCUAAUUAAUACAAGGGUGCCACGCCCCCCACCUCUCGGGUGGGUCACACGAAAUAGACGGAGGAAGACGGACUUACCAGCUGUGGGACCAUGGCCUGCUCACUUCCCCUCUCUGCACCUCAGCUUCUAUUUCUGUAAAAUAGGAACAAGAUAUUUGCUUACUAUUUAUUAUUAAUAACAACGGUAGUGUUUGUGUUGAAAAGCUGCUGUGCAGAAAGUGUGCAACAUACGGGACGGGCAGCUGGCACCCAGUUCGUGCUCCGUAAAUAUCGGUUCCUUUCUCCCUUCUCUUAUUUCUCUGUCUGUGCGAGGUGGACCUGUUUGCUUACAUGCCAUGCUCCGCACUCUUGCUGCCCACUGUGAAUCUGUCCCUUUGACACUUGAGUUUUCACCCGCUGUGGGGUCACCCUGACUCUGGCGGCCUUCUUGCUCGGCAAUCCCACCAGCCCCCUGUGACGCAGACACACGCCCGUCACGUCCUGGGUGUGGCUGUGUGUCUGUCUGUGCCCUACUCAACUGUGAGCUCACUGAUUAAAUAGAGAUUUAUUUAGAAGUC